GAUGAACGCUGGCGGCGUGCUUAACACAUGCAAGUCGAACGGAAAGGCCUCUGCUUGCAGGGGUACUCGAGUGGCGAACGGGUGAGUAACACGUGGGUGAUCUGCCCUGCACUUCGGGAUAAGCCUGGGCAACUGGGUCUAAUACCGGAUAGGACAAUGGUUUGGAUGCUGUUGUGGAAAGUUUUUCGGUGUUGGAUGAGCUCGCGGCCUAUCAGCUUGUUGGUGGGGUAAUGGCCUACCAAGGCGUCGACGGGUAGCCGGCCUGAGAGGGGGUACGGCCACAUUGGACACGAGAAACGGGACACAGUCCUACGGGAGGCAGGAGGGGGGAAUAUUGAACAAUGGGCGAAAGCCUGAUGCAGGGACGAGGAGUGGGGGAUGAGGGCCUUAGGGCUGUAGACUCCUUUCGCUAGGGACGAAGCGUUUUUGUGACGGUACCUGGAGAAGAAGCACCGGCUAACUACGUG
This 467-nucleotide ribosomal RNA is filed under the name uncultured bacterium. Its description in RNAcentral is "partial 16S ribosomal RNA". It matches the Rfam family "Bacterial small subunit ribosomal RNA", at positions 28 to 507 of the family's 1533-position model. The record is from RNAcentral.